RNAcentral lists this ribosomal RNA (274 nucleotides) under uncultured bacterium. RNAcentral describes it as "partial 16S ribosomal RNA". It matches the Rfam family "Bacterial small subunit ribosomal RNA", at positions 523 to 796 of the family's 1533-position model. The record is from RNAcentral.
AUACGGAGGGUGCAAGCGUUAUUCGGAAUCACAGGGCGUAAAGGACGCGUAGGCGGGUUGGCAAGUCAGAUGUGAAAUCCUACAGCUUAACUGUAGAACUGCAUUUGAAACUGCUAACCUAGAGUAUGGGAGGGGGAGAUGGAAUUAGUGGUGUAGGGGUAAAAUCCGUAGAUAUCACUAGGAAUACCGAAAGCGAAGGCGGUCUCCUGGAACAUAACUGACGCUAAGGCGUGAAAGCGUGGGGAGCAAACAGGAUUAGAAACCCUAGUAGUCC